Molecule: unclassified non-coding RNA, 311 nt
Filed under: Hevea brasiliensis (rubber tree)
Lineage: Eukaryota; Viridiplantae; Streptophyta; Magnoliopsida; Malpighiales; Euphorbiaceae
Source: RNAcentral
GUAGUGGUGACUUGGAUAUUCCGAUGAAGAAGCUGGUGGGGGCCUGAGUCACGAAUCUCUAUUCUUCCAAAAUAAACAUGUACAAUAGGAGGUUGAACAGUUAUUGAUGAAGUAGGAGGAAUCUGUGGACUAGACACUUGUUUAAUAGUGUAAAAUAAGAGAAUAUCUUCCUCCUCCGGACUCUCAUAAAUAAAUGAGGGAGGAAAGAAUGGAGCAGACUAAAAAAAGUAGCAUCUGAAGACACAAUGUAGUGAUUUAGAGUAGGAGAGAAACAUUGUAUCCUUUUUGAAGACAAGAAUGCCCAAGGAAAG